UACGAAGGGGGCUAGCGUUGCUCGGAAUUACUGGGCGUAAAGCGCACGUAGGCGGAUUGUUAAGUCGGGGGUGAAAGCCUGGAGCUCAACUCCAGAACUGCCUUUUAGACUGCAUCGCUUGAAUCCAGGAGAGGUGAGUGGAAUUCCGAGUGUAGAGGUGAAAUUCGUAGAUAUUCGGAAGAACACCAGUGGCGAAGGCGGCUCACUGGACUGGUAUUGACGCUGAGGUGCGAAAGCGUGGGGAGCAAACAGG
RNAcentral lists this ribosomal RNA (253 nucleotides) under uncultured bacterium. RNAcentral describes it as "partial 16S ribosomal RNA". It matches the Rfam family "Bacterial small subunit ribosomal RNA", at positions 524 to 776 of the family's 1533-position model. The record is from RNAcentral.